GCAUCCUGGGCUACACUGAGGACCAGGUUGUCUCCUGUGACUUCAACAGCAACUCCCACUCUUCCACCUUUGAUGCUGGGGCUGGCAUUGCUCUCAAUGACCACUUUGUAAAGCUUAUUUCCUGGUAUGACAAUGAAUACGGCUACAGCAACAGGGUUGUGGACCUCAUGGCCUACAUGGCCUCCAAGGAG
Molecule: non-coding RNA, 191 nt
Organism: Arvicanthis niloticus (Nile rat)
Lineage: Eukaryota; Metazoa; Chordata; Mammalia; Rodentia; Muridae
Source: RefSeq, a predicted model, not a curated record